Molecule: ribosomal RNA, 429 nt
Filed under: Verrucomicrobiota bacterium
Lineage: Bacteria; Pseudomonadati; Verrucomicrobiota
Description: Verrucomicrobia bacterium partial 16S ribosomal RNA
Rfam family: Bacterial small subunit ribosomal RNA
Source: RNAcentral
UAGGGAAUCUUCCGCAAUGGACGAAAGUCUGACGGAGCAACGCCGCGUGUGUGAAGAAGGAUUUCGGUUUGUAAAACUCUGUUGUUAGGGAAGAAAAAAUGUAUAGUAACUAUAUACAAAAGAGACGGUACCUAACCAGAAAGCCACGGCUAACUACGUGCCAGCAGCCGCGGUAAUACGUAGGUGGCAAGCGUUGUCCGGAAUUAUUGGGCGUAAAGCGCGCGCAGGUGGUUUAGAAAGUCUGAUGUGAAAGCCCACGGCUCAACCGUGGAGGGUCAUUGGAAACUAAUAAACUUGAGUGCAGGAGAGGAAGGUGGAAUUCCUAGUGUAGCGGUGAAAUGCGUAGAGAUUAGGAGGAACACCGGUGGCGAAAGCGGCUUUUUGGCCUGCAACUGACACUGAGGCGCGAAAGCGUGGGGAGCAAACAGG